AUAAUUGUUUUUGUAUAGUUCUUACAAUUCACGAAGGCGAGUGAACUUUACUUGUGGUUACAUCGUAUACAUGGGCAUUGCGUAAGUGUGCGUGCAUGUUGGACCAAUCAGUCGCGAGCAAGCGCUCGCAAACGCACACAUUUAGUGUACCUUACUUAUACCGAUAGGAC
This is a long non-coding RNA of Maniola jurtina (meadow brown), 170 nucleotides long. RefSeq lists it as uncharacterized. The record is from RefSeq and is a predicted model, not a curated record. The transcript has 2 exons. NCBI's taxonomy places the organism in Eukaryota, Metazoa, Arthropoda, Insecta, Lepidoptera, Nymphalidae.